Molecule: long non-coding RNA, 520 nt
Organism: Sinocyclocheilus anshuiensis
Lineage: Eukaryota; Metazoa; Chordata; Actinopteri; Cypriniformes; Cyprinidae
Exons: 2
Source: RefSeq, a predicted model, not a curated record
UGAUCGGUGAUCGGCCUAAAAAAUCCUGAUCGGAGCACCCCUACUGUAUACUAUAGAAACACUGCAUAGUGCUGAGAAACGGAUUACAGAGUGUGAGUUUGCUGCAGUCGCUGUGGACCCAGACUUGGAAACUGCAGAGUGAUGCACACUUGUCUGGUUAGGCGCACCUUGCCUCCCCUCUGUCAAACAAAGUGCUUUAUUCCCCGUAAGCUUCCUGACGCCGGGGCUCAGUUGGGACUUGUUUGCGAUGAGCUCAGGAUAAGUUAUGCUGCUUAUGCCGUUGCUGUCAACACGGAGCUGCGCGGCAUGGCUGAAGUGAUGGACGAUGAUUGAGUCUAAUGUGAGGGAAUUAGCUGGGAGCAUUCAGCGCUGCAGGAACGCUGAUGGUGUGUACACUCAGCCACAAUGCAGGGAUUACUUCCCAAAGUAAUGUGGAAAAUAUGAUUUCUGAAUUUCUGAAACUUGUCGCUGUAUCUUUCAGGCUAAAACACUGGUGUAAACAAAGAUUAGGUUUUAAAAA